This 2368-nucleotide long non-coding RNA is filed under the name Nicotiana benthamiana. Its description in RNAcentral is "long non-coding RNA (NBEN_LNC042688)". The record is from RNAcentral. Lineage: Eukaryota; Viridiplantae; Streptophyta; Magnoliopsida; Solanales; Solanaceae.
CUUGUCUCACUAUCAACUCCCAAAAAGUACUGGCCCGUGGGCCUCAUUUUUGGAUUUGAAAUCCCAAAAGAUUAGAAGAAAUCUAAAACCGUUUCUUUGGCUGAUUUUAAUGAUCCCUGAAGUCCUAUUUGUGCCAAAAAUUAUGCCAAGCAUUUAUUUUUUGCAAGAUACUAGUAGGCUCCUCAUUCGCCUGGCCAAGUUCGUUGCCUUCGUUGAUUCGUUCCGGCCAAACUAGUAUUACUCCUUCCUUGAUUCUUUUCUUCAUGAUUUUUCUUCUUUUAUUUUCCCUGGUUCUUGCAUUUUUAUGUGUUCGAUUUAAUUUUAGUUUAACUAAAAUAAGUUUCUAGUUGCUCACUUACACAAUUGGGGUUAAUAUCCAUUUAAGUUUGUUUUGUUUGAGUUUUUGUUUUGGCCGAAAUUUUAUUUAAGUCCAGUCGUUAAUUUUAUUAAAGGGCUUGAUGAAGCAGUUUCCCUUAUCCCUUAUUCAUAUUAAGUUGUAGGCUUAUUUAGGCUCAUGGUUUGGGCUGGGUUGGAUUAAUAGCCUUGGGUCAACUUUGACCCAUGUUUGGUUUUGGGUUUCAGGGGUAAUAACAAAGGCUUUAAGGAGUAAUUUUUGUAAUUAAUUUAGGGAAUCUAGGUGUAACAACCUUAGGAAACAUCCAGGAAAGGGGCUUGGGACGAUUUUAAAAUUUUUAGAUUUACACUAGGGAUUUCUAAGCUAAAUGAAAACAUGAAAACAUGAAAAGAUGCAAAGUGCAAAAAUCUAAUACCUUAGGCUGCCCUAAUAGCUUGCCUAUAAAGGCACCUUUACUUGACCCUUAAAAGGGAUAUUAAGAGAAAAAUCCCAGAAAAAUACUGAAAUGGCUGACUGUGAUUAUUCUACACUUUUCUAGAAAAAACCUGCUGAAUCAUUACUGAUUUUAGUUUAUGACUCUUGAUUGCUCAGUAAAAUCAGUAAAGAUGAUAAGGUAUUGUAGUUGGGGUUGAAUUGGAUUGAGUUUGGAUCUCUAAAAGUCUAAGUUGAGCUUUACUGUUUGUUGUAUUGUUCGAUCGAAACUGGAUGAGCUUGCUUGGAGAUUUUUUUGGAAAUUCUGUUUAGAAUUUUGCUGGUUUCUGCUUUUCGAGUUCCCUUUUAGUGAGAUUUUUUUAACGCUGUCAAAAUGGUAUUGUUUCUGGGUUGAAUCUGGUGCAAAGUUUAAUGAUUGAUGUGUUGUUGUGGCUAUUUCCACUUCUAAUUAUUGUUUAUGUUUCCUAUUAAACCCUUCAGCUUAUCUUCUUUGUUUGCUACUGUAAUCAGGUAUUCAUCCAACCUCCAAUGGCAUGUAUAAAUGAAAAUGAAAUGAUGCUGAUACAUUAUUCAUAGCAGCCUGUUUUAGAUUACUUGAUCUCGUGUUCAUUAAGUUUUAUUAUGUGUUUAUAUGCUUAUUAAGUUGUCACAAUAAAAGCAUUUGUAAAGUUGUUAAGUUAUGAGCUAAUAAGGGACUAUUGUUAUAUGAAUUCGACCUUUCCUUCAGUACUGUUGAUUACAAUGUGGAUAUGGUAUUCAGAACUGGAGCAUGAUAUUUUGUUAAUAAGCUUGUGGUUGUCUAUUUUGAUUUUAAUGUCGUGUUAGGCUCUUAAACAUACUUGGCAUGUGGUAUCAUAGAUUGAAUGGCUUAGCAUUCUGCUUAAUUGACUAGGGGUGUCUUUCAAAUUGAUGGUGCUGAUUUCUGAUUAAAUCUGUUAGAAGUUGGUUGCAGCAUGUUAAAAGAAUGCCAUAUAUUCCUUCAUUGAAGUGUUAAUCGAAUCAAUUGUUACUGCUAGUUUUCUUUCACAUAGGAAAUCUGAUUUUUAAAGUAUGCAAAAGAAAAUUGGAAGUUUCGCUUAGUUAAGUUGGAUCGAUUAGUAAAAAUUAUUAGGGUUAUUUGAUUAGUCCCAUUUCUUGUUUGUUUGAUACAUGUUGUUGAUCGAUUUGCUCCUCUUGACUUGGCACAAUUUUCUUCCUGAAUUUGGACCUAGCGUUGGCAUGAUAACAAACAUUUGGUCUGGUGGAUUUGAAGUCACUUUUCGGGACUUAGGCCAUCUCUCUCCAUUGAGAAUUGGGCUCAUUGGGUCUAAGCUUGAAAGCAGCUGGAAACUUAAUUUUGAGUUAGCUAGCCCUUUAAUUCAAUGUUCGCUAAAUUAGUUAGUAGGAUUGAGAUCUUAUUUAAAUAAGUAGAAAUUCCAUAAUUCUUUUUUUUAGUUAAUUAAUUGACCUUUAAAAUUAGAUUGGAGGUGUGUUAUAUGAGAUAACACAAAUAGCUUAUGACCUCCAAGUUAAUUUGAAUUCUCUUUAAAAUUAGAAAUCGAGGUGCGUCGUGCCCAAUAAAAUCUCAAAAAUGCAUGACCC